RNAcentral lists this transfer RNA (53 nucleotides) under Candidatus Thioglobus sp. RNAcentral describes it as "tRNA-Pro". Lineage: Bacteria; Pseudomonadati; Pseudomonadota; Gammaproteobacteria; Pseudothioglobaceae (SeqCode). The record is from RNAcentral.
CGGGGCGUAGCGCAGUCUGGUAGCGUACUUGACUGGGGGUCAAGUGGUCAGAG